Molecule: long non-coding RNA, 437 nt
Filed under: Citrus maxima (pomelo)
Lineage: Eukaryota; Viridiplantae; Streptophyta; Magnoliopsida; Sapindales; Rutaceae
Description: long non-coding RNA (CMAX_LNC000341)
Source: RNAcentral
GGGCACAAUGUCUCCAAAAUAGGAGCAGAGCACGGGGAGACAGAAAACCAAUCUUUCGCAUCCCUAGGAUCCGCUGAUAGUGAACCCAAAUAUGGCGAGCUCGAAGGCAGUCCACAAACAGGUGUCGAGUGGUCUUAGCAACCCGCCCGUAAACACAUCGAGAAACCAUAUAGAAACCCCUCGAGCACAAUGCAUCGUCAGUAGCUAGAAAUCCAUCAAAUAGUCACUAGAGAAAAAAAGAAACUCGCAAUGGGAUGUGCCUCUGUCAGAUAAUAUAGGAAAGCUCAUCCCUCCGUCUAGAGCACCGUACAAGCUCCCAAGCAGUCUGCAAGUGAAAAUUACCGUUGGGUGCAAAAUCCCAACAAAUCAAGUCUGGCUCCCUGCUAGAAAUAGGCACCAAUAAUAUCUGCUCAACAAUAGAUAAAGGCAAGACGUCC